UAUUGCACAAUGGGGGGAACCCUGAUGCAGCGACGCCGCGUGAGUGAAGAAGUAGUUCGGUAUGUAAAGCUCUAUCAGCAGGAACGAAGAAGACGGUACAUGACGAAGAAGCUCCGGCUCACUACGUGCCAGCAGCCGCGGUAAUACGUAGGGGGCAAGCGUUAUCCGGAAUCACUGGGUGUAAAGGGAGCGUAGACGGCAGGACAAGCCUGGAGUGAAAGGCGGGGGCCCAACCCCCGGACUGCUCUGGGAACUGCCCGGCUUGAGUGCAGGAGAGGUAAGUGGAAUUCCUAGUGUAGCGGUGAAAUGCGUAGAUAUUAGGAGGAACACCAGUGGCGAAGGCGGCUUACUGGACUGUAACUGACGUUGAGGCUCGAAAGCGUGGGGAGCAAA
This 393-nucleotide ribosomal RNA is filed under the name uncultured bacterium. Its description in RNAcentral is "bacterial SSU rRNA". It matches the Rfam family "Bacterial small subunit ribosomal RNA", at positions 362 to 772 of the family's 1533-position model. The record is from RNAcentral.